Molecule: small RNA, 577 nt
Filed under: Pongo abelii (Sumatran orangutan)
Lineage: Eukaryota; Metazoa; Chordata; Mammalia; Primates; Hominidae
Description: processed transcript
Source: RNAcentral
AGGACACUGGACAGGACCCUGAGAAGGUAUGGCCUGCCAGCCUGUGGCCAGUGGGGGUGCUGAAGUCUCCAUCGAGGACAUUCAGGAGGUGCGAAUGGGGCACCGCACGGAGGGUCUGGAGAAGUUCGCCCGUGAUGUGCCCGAGGACCGCUGCUUCUCCAUUGUCUUCAAGGAUCAGCGCAAUACACUAGACCUCAUUGCCCCAUCGCCAGCUGAUGCCCAGCACUGGGUGCUGGGGCUGCGCAAGAUCAUCCACCACUCAGGCUCCAUGGACCAGCGGCAGAAGCUACAGCACUGGAUUCACUCCUGCUUGCGAAAAGCUGACAAAAACAAGGACAACAAGAUGAGCUUCAAGGAGCUGCAGAACUUCCUGAAGGAGCUCAACGUCCAGGUGGAUGACAGCUAUGCCCGGAAGAUCUUCAGGGAGUGUGACCACUCCCAGACAGACUCCCUGGAGGACGAGGAGAUUGAGGCCUUCUACAAGAUGCUGACCCAGCGGGUGGAGAUCGACCGCACCUUCGCUGAGGCCGCGGGCUCAGGGGAGACUCUGUCGGUGGAUCAGUUAGUGACGUUCCUG